RNAcentral lists this ribosomal RNA (508 nucleotides) under Novosphingobium sp. RNAcentral describes it as "bacterial SSU rRNA". It matches the Rfam family "Bacterial small subunit ribosomal RNA", at positions 377 to 905 of the family's 1533-position model. The record is from RNAcentral. Lineage: Bacteria; Pseudomonadati; Pseudomonadota; Alphaproteobacteria; Sphingomonadales; Sphingomonadaceae.
GGAACUGAUCCAGCAUGCCGCGUGAGUGAUGAAGGCCUUAGGGUUGUAAAGCUCUUUUACCAGGGAUGAUAAUGACAGUACCUGGAGAAUAAGCUCCGGCUAACUCCGUGCCAGCAGCCGCGGUAAUACGGAGGGAGCUAGCGUUGUUCGGAAUUACUGGGCGUAAAGCGCGCGUAGGCGGUCUAUUAAGUCAGGGGUGAAAUCCCGGGGCUCAACCCCGGAACUGCCCUUGAAACUGCUAGACUAGAAUCUUGGAGAGGCGAGUGGAAUUCCGAGUGUAGAGGUGAAAUUCGUAGAUAUUCGGAAGAACACCAGUGGCGAAGGCGACUCGCUGGACAAGUAUUGACGCUGAGGUGCGAAAGUGUGGGGAGCAAACAGGAUUAGAUACCCUGGUAGUCCACACCGUAAACGAUGAUAACUAGCUGUCCGGGCACAUGGUGCUUGGGUGGCGCAGCUAACGCAUUAAGUUAUCCGCCUGGGGAGUACGGUCGCAAGAUUAAAACUCAAA